CCAGUCCCUGCCUUGGGCCACCGGCCUUUGGGUUCUCACGAUCUCCACCCUCCACACUAGCUGCUCUCUCUGAUCCACUGCUAGUUUCUUCUUUCAACAGACCCACUGGAAUCCUUGGGUCGGUGAGGCACUGCACUGGAGUUUUCAAGGUCUGAUCCUGCUCUGGCCUCCCCACCGCUCCCUUCCCGCGCUGCCUGGGGCUUGGAGUCCAGACACACCUGCAAGCACCGCUACUUGGCCGGAACAGCUGAAGAAGGGGAGGGUCCUGGAGGAGGAACACUUGCACUGAGGCUUGAGGUACACAACCCAAGAUGAAGCCACAUGCUCAAGGUCACGUAAGCGGCUGUGCCGAGAUGCAAACCCGGGUGUCGUGACUCCAAGAUGUGUGUUCUUUCUGCCACAUCAUUUAUCAUCACUGUUAUUCUCACCUCAGGAGGUCUGGGGGCCUGGGGUCAAGGAUGACUGGGACCCCGGUCUACCUGCCAGGAGCUCUGAGGUCCAGGUGUAACCACCAUGCGAAACGGGAGGAAACUAGCAGUAUGAUCCCAAGCCCCCUUUGAGAAUCUGACAGGAGCCCCAGGGUGGAAGGGGAAGCUACUCUUUCCCGGGAGGGGAAACGAUGGAUGCGACUGCUUGGACCUGAGGAUACAUGUGUUACGUUCACUGGCAGGAGAUGAAAAGGCACACACGCAGCUCCUCCUGGCCUCCCUGGAGCAGCCUAGCAUCCUGGCCCCUGCUCUGCUCACCUGUGCUGGGAGCGCUGAACCUCCUACCACCUUCGGGCAGGAGCCUCCUCAGGAAUUCCAGGGAAAGGAGGAACAGUCAGACCAAGAUCUGGCUGGGGCAUGGCCGCGCUCCCCCAGGCAUGCGAAUAUCAAGUACCAACACAACUGCAGCCUGUCUCCUAAGGACACAACACAGAGGUCUAUAAAUCCAGCCCCGGAACAGAUGAACCUCUCCUCCAGGCCACCUGCGGGCUGCAUUCUUGUUUGAAUCCCUCCUCCAGGAAUGUCCCUGCCUCAGUCAAGUCUGGACCCAGCUCAUCUGUGUGGAGCCGCCAGUCUCCUGCUGAUGCAACUUGUUCUGCUCUUGUUAGAACAGCCAGAAGCAAAGGGGAAAAGCUUCUGGGAAGGAAGCACCUUCCCAGUCGGGUUCCCACAGUGUUGCCCUGAGCUCUCGCAGGCUGCUUCUCCCGCAGCCUCUUUGCCCUUCUCUGUUAGGAGAGAUGCAGUCUGCAUGCUGAGAUGAGAGGUCUGGGAAUGGAGAGACUGACCCGGGGCUGGACUCCUGCAGCUAGGAGUAGGGCAGGUGUGUUUGCUCCUGUCCCCACUGCUGCUCCUGCCCGAGGACAGGUCAUCAGCUCUCACUGCAGUCACUCCAGGAGUCACCAGCCCUCCCUGCCUCCAUCUUGCCUUCCUUCAAUUCUGCGCAAAUCUGAUCUCGAUACUCUCAGGGCCAAAAUCUCAGAGGCUUUCCACUGACCACUGAGACAGCUGGUCAGGAUAGUCAAGAGCGCAGGUCUGGUUUUGUUUUUUUUCCUUAUUCAAAAGGAGUUUAUGAACCAGUGGGAAAGACAGGGCUGUGUACAAAUAUCUCAAUAUUUAGUAUAAUUAUUAUGAUGUGAGAAAGCCAAAAAGAGGUUUAAAACAUCUGCUAUACUUAUUUAAAACAUAUACAUGGAAGACCUACCCUCAAAAUGUUCACAUGCAUAGUACUUAAAACGGAGAAUGAGCAAGGUGUCAUACUAAGAAAACUCGAAGUAAAGUGAAGAAGAGCUUGAAAAGAGGGCUAUUUACAGAUGUAAAUAUUUCAGAAUUAAUUAACCCAGAUCAACGAAACAACAAAUACACAAGUAUCUGUUACAUAUAAACCAUGUACUUUUUGUACAAAUGUAUUCUAUAAUAUUUCAGGCAAUGAAUAACCCUCAAAAUACUGAUUGCAUUCAUACAAGAGACCUUUAUGAACAUCCAGUCCAGUCCCCUCCUAAAGAAACCCAAGGACCUGAGAGGUUUGUUUUCUUAUCCAAUCCAUUUCUUCUGAGGGAUCCAGCUGCCACCAUCCCUCCCCAACAACUCGGUCUUCAAUCCUCAGUCAUUCCUAGGAACCAAGCAACACCAAUAUGUGGCUUCUGUGCAGAUCCAGCCACAACUGCACCCUUCCCAUCCUUGCUUGUGGAUUGGGCUGCCCUCAAAUUCCGUGAUUCUGUUUUUGAACCCUAACAACUAACUCUGUAUCCGUAAGAGAGUUCUUUGUCCUUCAAAGUCACGUUAUCAUCUAUAAAAUAUGAGAAAGAAGACUAGUCCCUUCUUCAUAGCGUUUCUAUGCUAUGACAAUUAAAAGUCACGCACAUGAUAUGUUUGGUAGAAAGUCAGCUCGUUGUCUUCUAUUAUUAGUGUGCAGGACGAAGUCCAAGCACCUUGAUGUGACUCUGGCUUACAAGACCCUUCACCGUCUGUCCCUUGUCUACCCAGCUUCACUUCCAACCAUUGGUACUACAUGCAUGGGCAGGCUCAUCCCUAAGAUUUGUGGGGCCAGGGACAAAAUUACAAGUGGAUGUCCACAUACCACAUGUUUAAAUUUUAGAUUCUAAUCAAGGUAUCAAGCUAUUAAAUAAAAUAUAUUCUAUCCUC
This is a long non-coding RNA of Camelus dromedarius (Arabian camel), 2630 nucleotides long. RefSeq lists it as uncharacterized. The transcript is spliced from 5 exons. Lineage: Eukaryota; Metazoa; Chordata; Mammalia; Artiodactyla; Camelidae. The record is from RefSeq and is a predicted model, not a curated record.